RNAcentral lists this long non-coding RNA (4587 nucleotides) under Sus scrofa (pig). RNAcentral's name for it is "lncRNA (ENSSSCG00045014851.1)". Lineage: Eukaryota; Metazoa; Chordata; Mammalia; Artiodactyla; Suidae. The record is from RNAcentral.
UUUUUGUUUUUUUUUUUUUCAAUAUAAAAAUUGUAUAUAAAAAGUUCUGAAAGCCAAAAGCUUUCUCAUCAAAAUAGGUGCCAAAACUCCUGUGGCAGCAAAAACUGACAUGAACUGAUGGGAGUCUAUUUAAAUCUUCAUUUGUCUCACUUAGUGUGAAUAAUCAAGCGCUUUGCUACACAACAUUUGCCUAGAGGGUACUGCCCCAGACCAUGCUGGAGAAACUCGUGGUAUGUGAACCAUACCACCUUUCAAGGAUCCAAAAUAUUCGAAAUCCAAACCCAGUCAGACCCGCAAGCUCUGGAUAAGGAGCGGGACUGCUUGGACUUCUUGUCCUACGGGCCUCAACCGCAGCUUCAGCUCGCAGAGGGCAUCGCAGGGACUGCGCACAGCCAGACCCGUACACCCGGCCUACGCAAAUGAAAAAUCCAUACAACUCCCAAGCAGUAUGGAUCUGUUUACACCCUCUGUGGACUUGAUUUGGUAGACAGUGGGGAGGGGUGUCACUGAGGCUAUGAAGCAGAAGAGCCGUACAAUCAAAGGGCACUACAGCCUGCAAGUCGUUUUUCAAAACCUCCCGAGAUCACCCGCACCAGAAUCGCCUACAGAGUGUCCACCAGAAAUGCAGACUCCAGGCCCCGCUUUCAAUCUGCUGGAUCAGAAUUUCUACAAGGGGUCCCGGGGAUGAACCCUGUAAGAGGCCACCCAGGCAGCUCUUGGACACAUUAAAACCUGAAGAUACUCAGAGCACAAUCUCGGGAAUAUUCGUGGAUUGAUGAAGAAGUCCAGCCCCUACCUGGAACCCACCAAGAAUAUGCUCCGGGCAAGCCACAGCUAGCGAAUGGAAGGACACCACUGUUUGGGCCACCACAUGGAUUUAGGGUUGAAACAUGGAAGCAAGAUGCUUCCGACACUGAGAAGCUCCGCCUUUCCACCUCCUAUUAAAAAUCUGACUGUUCCACGCAUAUCUUGUGGAAGAGUGGUGGAGAAAGCAAGGCAGGGACAAGCAGAGUGAAGGGCUUUUGGCAUUCGGACAGCCUGCUCUAGCACUAAACACUUGAUUAAGCACAUACAAAACCAGCACCGCAAGAGUCUUCAAAUAGUUAAAUUUUCAAUCCUUAUAAAAAAGAAAAUCCAUCAGAUGUGAUUGAUAAGUGUACUUUUUAAAACUAAGAGUAAAAAAGUGAAGAUUGGCAACAUUUUUCGCCAUAUAAUUUGCUUUCUUUGCCUUUUUCCAGAGCGCUGCACAUAAAUCAAAGAAAUGGUAAAGAGGCCCAUAUAUCACCAACUGGCAUUUCAAAACUAUUUACCAAGUCUUUAACAGACACAGGUCAGAGUAUGGAAAACCACGACCAAGGCAGCAGAAAUUAAAGGGAGAAAAUUAACUCAAACACUGACAGAGAGUUGAUGAGGUUUACAAGUAACUUUCCAAUGAGCAAAUUAUGAUAUUUAAUAAGAACAGCCUUGGUGAGGCAGAGUUAGAAAAGCCGGAGGGGGAUGGGAAGGAAGAGAAGCCAAGAGAAUUUUCCGAACAAGAGGAAUGUAUAUUUGAACAAGCUGCCUUUCUAUGAUUAAGCACAGAAAUCUGGGAACAAGGCAGGGAAAUGAUGUUUAAUAAGGUAUGAGACAGGCUUGUGAGCUGCAUUCUGCAUCACCCUUGCAAAAACAGGGGGGGGAGGCCGGAAGCAUGCAGGCUCCGGCAUGUGUGAACUGCGGCUAAAGGUGGGCGCGGAGGUCAGGAAAGGUGGAUUUAAAUGGGCUCGAUUUCCCAGCCAGGAAAUGCAAGGACCCCUCAAAGGCAGCAGCAUGCUAAAACGGGUGGCUUACGCCCUCAUCUUCGAGGACAGGGAGAGCUGUAAACGGCUUUCCCUGUCUGCCUUCAUCAGCUCAGUUUACUCUAACGAAACACCGCGGGCCGGUGGCUGGAUCAACAGACACCUGCUCCUCAUCCUCCCGAGGCUGGGAAGUCCAAGAGCCAGGGGCCAGCAGCCCUGGCUCUUGCUGAGGGCCAGCCUUCCAGCCUGCGCACUGCCACCACGGCACUGUGUGCUCAGUGAUCUGCUCUUUGCGUGCACACAGAGGGAGAGGGCUCUGGACCCUCUUCCUCUUCUUCUAAGGAUACCUGACCCCAUCAUGGGGGUUCUGCUCUCAUGACCGCAUCCAACAUCAUCACCAGAGGCCCCACCUCCUAAUACAAUCACACUGAGGUAACAUUAGAGCUUCAACAUACGACAUUUGGGGGAUACCAACAUUCGGUCCCUAACAUGGUCCAUCUGUUCAAGCUGGCGCAGGCCUGGUGAGCGCCUGAUCAGACAUUCCACUGUUACUCCAAGAAGCAGGCUGUGUGCACUGGCACCAGAGCCAGACUUGAGUCUUGGGGACGGCCUCCCUCCACCCCCUCACUAGAGCACUGCUGGCCCUCCCCUGGCCCAGCACAAGGGUAGUGGCUCUAAUUUUAAUGGAGUCACUGCUUCUUUGAAAAACUCAGCUUUUAACACUGCCAUCACCCACCAUGCACUCUCGCCCUUAACAUACACUCCAGAAAAGCUAACUGCUGAGAGCCAAAAGAGGAAGAGAGCUCUACUGAGAAAGAGGUUUUAAAACCAGCUUCUAGGUAAAAGAGGGGGAAAAGGUCAGUCUCUUCUUCUCAAGAACGCAGUGUUUCAUCCUCUCUCUUUGCUGCUACACAAUGAAAUAUUAGCGUCAGACAGAUCCUGUUAGAAAGCAUACCAGGGACCCAGAGACAUCUUACUCUACUUCACAUCGGCAACGUCCAAGUGUCUGCACAAAUUUCUUAGAAUUAUGCAAUGAAAAAAGAGACCUUGCAUGGAAAAUAUAAGCCCAUUACAGCAAAAUGUGCUUUUUAAAACACUAAGAUGCUAGAAACCUAUGUGUACUAGAAAGAAAAAUGUGUCUAAAACAAGAACCAGAGUCUGCUUGUUGCACAUGGCAGAAACGGCCAUGUUCCCGGCAUUCUCUCCUGAAACCACCAGAACGAGAGCAAAUCCAGGGUAUAAGCCCCAAGGAUAAAGAGAUGGGGGGGGAUGAUAAGAAACGAUGAUAAGAAAUUAAUUUUAAUUCUAACGUUCAAUUUUAGAAGCGAGGAAGCAAGUGAAACAGCGUUACCUUGGCGGAGAGCAGAACUCUGGAGCUCAGCCUGGCUGGUGGGAGGGAUCGGGGAGGACAGGGUAGGGAGGCCUGUGAAAGGCAAAGUGUACGGAACUGCAGGAAAGGGUGAGGAAGGGGAGGCACCCGUGCGGUGAAAGCCAGACGUGGGGCAGGAAUUAAAAAAAGGUGGAGUGGCCAGGCCUUUUUUUCAACAAAGGUCCCUACUGCCAUCAGAAGUCAAGACGGGCUGACCUAAGGGACAAGUGAAAACCGGGGGACAAAUCUCCGAAGGGCGAGACGGCCUCCCGCCCCAGCCUGCACAAAAAGAAACAACAGUCGUAGCACACUAUCCGGCUCGGCUGUGAACACUUCACAGUCCUGACAGUAUAAACACGGAGCAUCAAUUAAAGUAGGCCAACAGGGAGCCAGUGGGACACGAGGGUUCGAUCUUUCUCCUCCACAGUGGAGUCAACAGAGAACAUCUAAAACAGCAGUCUAAGCCAGCUGGUUAGAAACGUGCAGGCAGGUAUCCAAAGAAACGACCACAAGAGCCUAAAGGAGUUCCCUCCAGAGAGGGGCAUGUGCAACAACCAGACAAAGGACCAACGCCUCUGUCAUAAACCUGGUAGGCUUACUUAUUUGCCUCUUUGUAUUCCUUUGAUGACGAUAAGAAUUAUAAUAGAAAAAGAAAUAGAGCCUCAAAGCUAAGCAGGUCCUGAAAAUGUAAGCCUCUGCACACGACAAAACGUGCGUCGUCACCUGGGAACUUACUCGUUUACUAUAGUAACACUUAAUUAUAUUUCAAGUUUUACGGCAUGACAGCUAAAGGUUUGUAUAAUAGCAGAUGCCUUCCCUCCCACACAUCAAUUAAUUUGCAAAUUCACUCAGGUUGCAGAAAUAAUGAGGUGCAGAAAGCUUCUUCCACUGGUGAGCGCUGCCUUCAGAAGGUGGAUGUGGUGGGCGAGGUGAUGAGGGCACUGCUAGCUGCACGCCAGAGCCGCCGGGCCAAGGAGGACGCUCUGCCAUUAGCCCAAGAGCCCCGAGGACCCACCCGGCUCCAAGGCUCCAAAUCAAGAGAAAGGACGGAAGGGCACCACCUUGAAAAACGGAAAAACAAUGGAAAAAAUCUAGAGACACGCAAGGGAAUGAGAGACGGUCUCCGCCUCAUGAAAUAAAAUCAUGUUUUUUAUGUUCCUUUUUAUAGGCUCUCAUUUGAUGUUUACCAAGAAAGUAAACUUUCUGAAAUAAAAUGAUGUGGCACUCUGAGUUCAACUUUGGACUAUAAUUUGGCAAAACCACCCACCAAGCCCACGCAUUUGAUUUUUUUUCUUCUUUCUGAAAGAGCUGCACCGAAGUAACCAAUGUUGUUUCAAAACACAGGGUUGAAAAUAGCUACGCCGCUUCCGGCUCUGCCAAAGAACUGUCUCUUUUCUCAUUUCCACUUAAAUCUUUUUUUUUCAAGUGACCUAAAUGGUGGGC